RNAcentral lists this ribosomal RNA (468 nucleotides) under uncultured bacterium. RNAcentral's name for it is "partial 16S ribosomal RNA". It matches the Rfam family "Bacterial small subunit ribosomal RNA", at positions 28 to 507 of the family's 1533-position model. The record is from RNAcentral.
GACGAACGCUGGCGGCGUGCUUAACACAUGCAAGUCGAACGGAAAGGCCCUGCUUUUGUGUGGUGCUCGAGUGGCGAACGGGUGAGUAACACGUGAGUAACCUGCCCUUGACUUUGGGAUAACUUCAGGAAACUGGGGCUAAUACCGGAUAGGAGCUCCUGCUGCAUGGUGGGGGUUGGAAAGUUUCGGCGGUUGGGGAUGGACUCGCGGCUUAUCAGCUUGUUGGUGGGGUAGUGGCUUACCAAGGCUUUGACGGGUAGCCGGCCUGAGAGGGUGACCGGCCACAUUGGGACUGAGAUACGGCCCAGACUCCUACGGGAGGCAGCGGUGGGGAAUAUUGCACAAUGGGCGGAAGCCUGAUGCAGUAACGCCGCGUGCGGGAUGACGGCCUUCGGGUUGUAAACCGCUUUCGCCUGUGACGAAGCGUGAGUGACGGUACUGGGUAAAGAAGCACCGGCUAACUACGUG